CCUACGGGAGGCAGCAGUGAGGAAUAUUGGUCAAUGGACGGAAGCCUGAACCAGCCAUGCCGCGUGCAGGAUGACGGUCCUAUGAGUUGUAAACCGCUUUUGUACGAGAGUAAUAGUCGUUACGUGUAGCGUUCUGAACGUAUCGUACGAAUAAGGAUCGGCCAACUCCGUGCCAGCAGCCGCGGUAAUACGGAGGAUUCGAGCGUUAUCCGGAUUUAUUGGGUUUAAAGGGUGCGUAGGCUGCCGGAUAAGUUAGAGGUGAAAAUUGAGGGCUUAACCCCUUGCCUGCCUUUGAUACUGUUCUGCUAGAGAGCGGGUGUAGCAGGCGGAAUGAGUGGUGUAGCGGUGAAAUGCAUAGAUAUUACGCAGAACACCGAUUGCGCAGGCAGCAUGCUAGUGCUCAACUGACGCUGAUGCACGAAAGCGUGGGUAGCGAACAGGAUUAGAUACCCUUGUAGUC
RNAcentral lists this ribosomal RNA (460 nucleotides) under uncultured bacterium. Its description in RNAcentral is "partial 16S ribosomal RNA". It matches the Rfam family "Bacterial small subunit ribosomal RNA", at positions 338 to 795 of the family's 1533-position model. The record is from RNAcentral.